Molecule: long non-coding RNA, 239 nt
Filed under: Lathyrus oleraceus (garden pea)
Lineage: Eukaryota; Viridiplantae; Streptophyta; Magnoliopsida; Fabales; Fabaceae
Description: Pisum sativum (pea) long non-coding RNA (PSAT_LNC036197)
Source: RNAcentral
CAAUAUGGUCUAAGUUUAGAAAUCACAAACAAAGAAGAUUUUGAAAGAGGGGAGAGAUUUGAAAUUAAAGAAGUUAGGAAGAGAUGAAGAGACUAAUCUUAAGCAAAAAUUUAAAAGUUAAGAGUUGAAAAGACCUGACCAAUGGGCUGCAAACCAAUAGACAAGAAUGACAUAUAGAAACCCAAAUUUCCCUUGGACUUUAGAAUCGAGAAAUAUUAAUACACAAAUAGCAAGAUGAA